RNAcentral lists this ribosomal RNA (467 nucleotides) under uncultured bacterium. RNAcentral describes it as "partial 16S ribosomal RNA". It matches the Rfam family "Bacterial small subunit ribosomal RNA", at positions 29 to 507 of the family's 1533-position model. The record is from RNAcentral.
ACGCACGCUGGCGGCGUGCUUAACACAUGCAAAUCGAACGGAAAGGCCCUGCUUUUGUGGGGUGCUCGAGUGGCGAACGGGUGAGUAACACGUGAGUAACCUGCCCUUGACUUUGGGAUAACUUCAUGAAACUGGGGCUAAUACCGGAUAGGAGCUCCUGCUGCAUGGUGGGGGUUGGAAAGUUUCGGCGGUUGGGGAUGGACUCGCGGCUUAUCAGCUUGUUGGUGGGGUAGUGGCUUACCAAGGCUUUGACGGGUAGCCGGCCUGAGAGGGUGACCGGCCACAUUGGGACUGAGAUACGGCCCAGACUCCUACGGGAGGCAGCAGUGGGGAAUAUUGCACAAUGGGCGGAAGCCUGAUGCAGCAACGCCGCGUGCGGGAUGACGGCCUUCGGGUUGUAAACCGCUUUCGCCUGUGACGAAGCGUGAGUGACGGUAAUGGGUAAAGAAGCACCGGCUAACUACGUG